AGAGUUUGAUCAUGGCUCAGGAUGAACGCUAGCUACAGGCUUAACACAUGCAAGUCGAGGGGAAACGACAUCGAAAGCUUGCUUUUGAUGGGCGUCGACCGGCGCACGGGUGAGUAACGCGUAUCCAACCUGUCCACCACUUGGGGAUAACCUUGCGAAAGUAAGACUAAUACCCAAUGACGUCUCUAGAAGACAUCUGAAAGAGAUUAAAGAUUUAUCGGUGAUGGAUGGGGAUGCGUCUGAUUAGCUUGUUGGCGGGGUAACGCCACAAGGCGACGAUCAGUAGGGUUCUGAGAGGAAGGUCCCCCANAUUGGAACUGAGACACGGUCCAAACUCCUACGGGAGCA
Molecule: ribosomal RNA, 348 nt
Filed under: uncultured bacterium
Lineage: Bacteria
Description: bacterial SSU rRNA
Rfam family: Bacterial small subunit ribosomal RNA
Source: RNAcentral